UCUGGAUGUUGCCAACAAAAUUGG
This 24-nucleotide non-coding RNA is filed under the name Cricetulus griseus (Chinese hamster). The record is from RNAcentral. Lineage: Eukaryota; Metazoa; Chordata; Mammalia; Rodentia; Cricetidae.